RNAcentral lists this ribosomal RNA (490 nucleotides) under uncultured bacterium. RNAcentral describes it as "partial 16S ribosomal RNA". It matches the Rfam family "Bacterial small subunit ribosomal RNA", at positions 28 to 507 of the family's 1533-position model. The record is from RNAcentral.
GAUGAACGCUAGCGAUAGGCUUAACACAUGCAAGUCGAGGGGCAGCAUGGUCUUAGCUUGCUAAGACUGAUGGCGACCGGCGCACGGGUGCGUAACGCGUAUGCAACUUGCCUCACAGAGGGGGAUAACCCGUCGAAAGACGGACUAAUACCGCGUACACUUGGGAUAGGGCAUCCUGACCCAAGGAAAUGAAAUUCGCUGUGAGAUAGGCAUGCGUCCCAUUAGCUAGUUGGUGAGGUAACGGCUCACCAAGGCGACGAUGGGUAGGGGAACUGAGAGGGUGAACCCCCACACUGGUACUGGGACACGGACCAGACUCCUACGGGAGGCAGCAGUGAGGAAUAUUGAUCAAUGGGCGAGAGCCUGAACCAGCCAAGUCGCGUGAAGGAUGACUGUCUUAUGGAUUGUAAACUUCUUUUAUACGGGAAUAACAAGAGCCACGUGUGGCUCCCUGCAUGUACCGUAUGAAUAAGCAUCGGCUAACUCCGUG